This 433-nucleotide ribosomal RNA is filed under the name uncultured bacterium. RNAcentral describes it as "partial 16S ribosomal RNA". It matches the Rfam family "Bacterial small subunit ribosomal RNA", at positions 29 to 507 of the family's 1533-position model. The record is from RNAcentral.
AACGAACGCUGGCGGCAUGCCUAACACAUGCAAGUCGAACGAGACCUUCGGGUCUAGUGGCGCACGGGUGCGUAACGCGUGGGAACCUGCCCUUAGGUUCGGAAUAACUCCCCGAAAGGGGUGCUAAUACCGGAUAAUGUCUUCGGACCAAAGAUUUAUAGCCUUUGGAUGGGCCCGCGUUGGAUUAGCUAGUUGGUAGGGUAAAAGCCUACCAAGGCGACGAUCCAUAGCUGGUCUGAGAGGAUGAUCAGCCACACUGGGACGGAGACACGGCCCAGACUCCUACGGGAGGCAGCAGUGGGGAAUAUUGGACAACGGGCGAAAGCCUGAUCCAGCAAUGCCGCGUGAGUGAUGAAGGCCUGAGGGUUGUAAAGCUCUUUUACCCGGGAUGAUAAUGACAGUACCGGGAGAAUAAGCUCCGGCUAACUCCGUG